UAGGAAAUGAUCUGAUUCCAUCCAUAAUGCUUGUUGCAUUUCCUUUGGCUUAUGGUCUGCAGAUUUUUCACUUUCAUUUUUUUCACUCACUGGUAUUUCCUUCCUGCACCACUGCUGGGUGACUACAGGCAUUGCUGGCAGAAAUUCGCCUUGGAAGACUGACAGUUUGCCUGGAACAUCCAGUUACAAAUGUGAUGCUCACCUGAACCUCAGAGGACCAACAGCUGUUCUACCUAAUCAGGCUGCAGCAGACAGCAAACAGUGAAGCGGGCGAAUUUGCCAUUUAUAUGGAUAGCUUUGCAAAGCAACCCAGCUCCUUCAAAAAGAGGUAAGUGUAAUGCACAAUAUGGCAGUUCUUUUAAAAUUGAUGCUUAAAUCUAUUUUAUUUGUAUAUGAGA
RNAcentral lists this long non-coding RNA (398 nucleotides) under Coturnix japonica (Japanese quail). RNAcentral describes it as "lncRNA (ENSCJPG00005016458.1)". Lineage: Eukaryota; Metazoa; Chordata; Aves; Galliformes; Phasianidae. The record is from RNAcentral.